RNAcentral lists this ribosomal RNA (467 nucleotides) under uncultured bacterium. RNAcentral's name for it is "partial 16S ribosomal RNA". It matches the Rfam family "Bacterial small subunit ribosomal RNA", at positions 29 to 523 of the family's 1533-position model. The record is from RNAcentral.
AACAAACGCUGGCGGCGUGCCUAAUACAUGUAAGUCGAACGGGUAGCAAUACCAGUGGCGCACGGGUGAGGAAUACAUAGAUAAUCUGCCUUCGAGUCGGGGAUAACCAGUCGAAAGAUUGGCUAAUACCGGAUAAGACCACAAGAUCUGCGGAUCAAGGGGUUAAAGGUUUUUCGCUUGAAGAUGAGUCUAUGCGAGAUUAGCUAGUUGGUGAGGUAAUGGCUCACCAAGGCGACGAUCUCUAACUGGUCUUAGAGGAUGAUCAGUCACACUGGAACUGAGACACGGUCCAGGCUCCUACGGGAGGCAGCAGUAGGGAAUAUUGCGCAAUGGGGGAAACCCUGACGCAGCGACGCCGCGUGAGUGAUGAAGGCCUUCGGGUCGUAAAGCUCUGUCGUAUGGGAAUAACACAAUGAAUGUACCAUGCAAGAAAGGAUCGGCUAACUUCGUGCCAGCCGCCGCAGUAA